GAGGGUGUAGCUCAGUGGUAGAGCACAUGUUUAGCAUGUGCGAGGUCCUGGGUUCAACCUCCAGUGCCUCCA
This 72-nucleotide transfer RNA is filed under the name Camelus bactrianus (Bactrian camel). It matches the Rfam family "tRNA". Rfam says of the family: Transfer RNA (tRNA) molecules are approximately 80 nucleotides in length. Lineage: Eukaryota; Metazoa; Chordata; Mammalia; Artiodactyla; Camelidae. RNAcentral also lists the same sequence under 2 other names. The record is from Rfam by way of RNAcentral.